Molecule: transfer RNA, 71 nt
Filed under: Yezoterpnosia nigricosta
Lineage: Eukaryota; Metazoa; Arthropoda; Insecta; Hemiptera; Cicadidae
Description: tRNA-Asn
Source: RNAcentral
UUAAUUGAAGCCAAAUUUGAGGCACUUUAUUGUUAAUAAAGUAAGUGAGUAAAUUUUUUUAUCCAAUUAAA